Molecule: ribosomal RNA, 492 nt
Filed under: uncultured bacterium
Lineage: Bacteria
Description: partial 16S ribosomal RNA
Rfam family: Bacterial small subunit ribosomal RNA
Source: RNAcentral
AGUGAACGCUGGCGGUAGGCCUAACACAUGCAAGUCGAACGGCAGCACAGUAAGAGCUUGCUCUUACGGGUGGCGAGUGGCGGACGGGUGAGGAAUACAUCGGAAUCUACUUUUUCGUGGGGGAUAACGUAGGGAAACUUACGCUAAUACCGCAUACGACCUACGGGUGAAAGCAGGGGAUCUUCGGACCUUGCGCGAUUGAAUGAGCCGAUGUCGGAUUAGCUAGUUGGCGGGGUAAAGGCCCACCAAGGCGACGAUCCGUAGCUGGUCUGAGAGGAUGAUCAGCCACACUGGAACUGAGACACGGUCCAGACUCCUACGGGAGGCAGCAGUGGGGAAUAUUGGACAAUGGGCGCAAGCCUGAUCCAGCCAUGCCGCGUGGGUGAAGAAGGCCUUCGGGUUGUAAAGCCCUUUUGUUGGGAAAGAAAAGAAGCAGGUUAAUACCCCGCUGUUCUGACGGUACCCAAAGAAUAAGCACCGGCUAACUUCGUG